Molecule: long non-coding RNA, 467 nt
Filed under: Gossypium barbadense (sea-island cotton)
Lineage: Eukaryota; Viridiplantae; Streptophyta; Magnoliopsida; Malvales; Malvaceae
Description: long non-coding RNA (GBAR_LNC006591)
Source: RNAcentral
GAGAUUAAUUUAUUAGUAGAAUAAGACGUAGCGACAUAUAUGCAUCAUGGUUGAAAGGGAUACAGGGAAACCAUACGUGCAACAAACAGCAAAGUAGAAAUAAAUAAGAGUCCACAAAAGUAGCAACCUUUACGAUUCGAAUAAUGCAUAGGGCGCUUAUUGUCAUAGAUAGGUUGAUCAACAUCACUAUCUACAAAAAAGGUUAUUACCAUUACAAUUAUGUUUACCUGACUUGGAUUUUGUAAUACAAUUCGAAUAAUUUUCAGGGCAAGGCUUCGCUGCUGCCUUAUUAGCAUUAAGCGCCUCUAUAGAUAUGUGACCGCUACCUUGCUGGAGGAUUCUGAUAACGGUAGAAUCUAUCAUCAACAAAUCCAGCUCCGACUCCAAUUCUUCCCGGAUAACGCAGCCGCCGAGAAGGCCAUUGCACUGGUAAGUGGCAUUGCUCCUAAGUACUAGGACGGCAUCUC